UACGUAGGGGGCAAGCGUUGUCCGGAAUUAUUGGGCGUAAAGCGCGCGCAGGCGGCUUUGUAAGUCUGGUGUUUAAACCUAGGGCUCAACCCUGGGUCGCAUUGGAAACUGCAAGGCUUGAGUGCAGAAGAGGAGAGUGGAAUUCCACGUGUAGCGGUGAAAUGCGUAGAGAUGUGGAGGAACACCAGUGGCGAAGGCGACUCUCUGGGCUGUAACUGACGCUGAGGCGCGAAAGCGUGGGGAGCAAACAG
RNAcentral lists this ribosomal RNA (251 nucleotides) under uncultured prokaryote. Its description in RNAcentral is "partial 16S ribosomal RNA". It matches the Rfam family "Bacterial small subunit ribosomal RNA", at positions 524 to 775 of the family's 1533-position model. The record is from RNAcentral.